This 857-nucleotide ribosomal RNA is filed under the name uncultured Acidobacteriota bacterium. RNAcentral's name for it is "bacterial SSU rRNA". It matches the Rfam family "Bacterial small subunit ribosomal RNA", at positions 56 to 896 of the family's 1533-position model. The record is from RNAcentral. Lineage: Bacteria; Pseudomonadati; Acidobacteriota.
UGCAGUCGACGCGGUUAGUAGCAAUACUAACUGAGUGGCGAACGGGUGAGUAACGCGUGGGUGACCUACCUUCGAGUGGGGGAUAACGUCCCGAAAGGGACGCUAAUACCGCAUGACAUCCUGCCUUUGAACAGGCGGAGAUCAAAGCCGGGGAUCGCAAGACCUGGCGCUUGAUGAGGGGCCCGCGUCUGAUUAGCUAGUUGGUGAGGUAACGGCUCACCAAGGCGACGAUCAGUAUCCGGCCUGAGAGGGCGGACGGACACACUGGGACUGAGACACGGCCCAGACUCCUACGGGAGGCAGCAGUGGGGAAUUGUUCGCAAUGGGCGCAAGCCUGACGACGCAACGCCGCGCGGAGGACGAAGAUUUUCGGAUCGUAAACUCCUUUCGAUCGGGAAGAACAGCUCCUGGGUUAAUAGCCCGGGAGUCUGACGGUACCGAGAGAAGAAGCCCCGGCUAACUCUGUGCCAGCAGCCGCGGUAAUACAGGGGGGGCAAGCGUUGUUCGGAAUUACUGGGCGUAAAGGGUCAGUAGGCGGCCAACUAAGUCCGACGUGAAAUCCCAAAGCUUAACUUUGGAACUGCGUCGGAUACUGGAUGGCUUGAAUUCGGGAGAGGGAUGCAGAAUUCCAGGUGUAGCGGUGAAAUGCGUAGAUAUCUGGAGGAAUACCGGUGGCGAAGGCGACAUCCUGGACCGACAUUGACGCUGAACGACGAAAGCUAGGGGAGCAAACGGGAUUGGAUACCCCGGUAGUCCUAGCCCUAAACGAUGAAUGCUUGGUGUGGCGGGUAUCGAUCCCUGCCGUGCCGAAGCUAACGCAUUAAGCAUUCCGCCUGGGGAGUACGGUCGCAAGGCUG